This 468-nucleotide ribosomal RNA is filed under the name uncultured bacterium. RNAcentral's name for it is "partial 16S ribosomal RNA". It matches the Rfam family "Bacterial small subunit ribosomal RNA", at positions 28 to 507 of the family's 1533-position model. The record is from RNAcentral.
GACGAACGCUGGCGGCGUGCUUAACACAUGCAAGUCGAACGGAAAGGCCCUGCUUUUGUGGGGUGCUCGAGUGGCGAACGGGUGAGUAACAAGUGAGUAACCUGCCCUUGACUUUGGGAUAACUUCAGGAAACUGGGGCUAAUACCGGAUAGGAGCUCCUGCUGCAUGGUGGGGGUUGGAAAGUUUCGGCGGUUGGGGAUGGACUCGCGGCUUAUCAGCUUGUUGGUGGGGUAGUGGCUUACCAAGGCUUUGACGGGUAGCCGGCCUGAGAGGGUGACCGGCCAAAUUGGGACUGAGCUACGGCCCAGACUCCUACGGGAGGCAGCAGUGGGGAAGAUUGCACAAUGGGCGGAAGCCUGAUGCAGCAACGCCGCGUGCGGGAUGACGGCCUUCGGGUUGUAAACCGCUUUCGCCUGUGACGAAGCGUGAGUGACGGUAAUGGGUAAAGAAGCACCGGCUAACUACGUG